GGGGGCGAUUUGGUUUCGACGAUGAUUUUGCAUUUAAAAGUAGCAUGUCGAGAGCUAACUCGUUAAUCUGGCAAAAGCACUAUAAGUGCCGAACCAAUCAAUCAACUUGCUGCCUAAAUAGUGUAGCAACAUCUUGCGGACUUUUCUCAUAGGGUUUGUUAAGAUGAGGAUAAUAUGAGACUAAAAUAGAACUUUCUCCUAGUUCUAUUUUAGUAUUUAUGGAGAUCGGGAUUUUUUCUUUUUUUUAGCUUGGGAAAAAUCUUUAAAAAAUAAGCUUAAAUAAGCAUGUAGAAGCUCUUAUUUAGCUAAUUUUCGGACCUGGGUUCGAUUCCCAGCGCCUCCACAA
RNAcentral lists this transfer-messenger RNA (346 nucleotides) under bacterium. Its description in RNAcentral is "GCA-002715585 sp002697665 Standard tmRNA". It matches the Rfam family "transfer-messenger RNA". From Rfam's summary of the family: Bacterial tmRNA, also known as 10Sa RNA or SsrA, is named for its dual tRNA and mRNA-like properties. Its role is to liberate the mRNA from a stalled ribosome. RNAcentral also lists the same sequence under 1 other name. The record is from RNAcentral.